RNAcentral lists this ribosomal RNA (733 nucleotides) under uncultured eukaryote. RNAcentral's name for it is "SSU rRNA". It matches the Rfam family "Eukaryotic small subunit ribosomal RNA", at positions 557 to 1295 of the family's 1831-position model. The record is from RNAcentral.
UAGUCUGGUGCCAGCAGCCGCGGUAAUUCCAGCUCCAAUAGCGUAUAUUAAAGUUGUUGCAGUUAAAACGCUCGUAGUCGGAUUUCGGGGCAGGUUUGCCGGUCUGCCGAUGGGUAUGCACUGGUAGAACUGUCCUUCCUUCCGGAGACGGCGCCUACUCUUAACUGAGCGGGUGUCGGAGACGGAUCGUUUACUUUGAAAAAAUCAGAGUGUUUCAAGCAGGCAGCUCGCUUUUGCAUGGAUUAGCAUGGGAUAAUGAAAUAGGACUUUGGUGCUAUUUUGUUGGUUUCGAACACCGAAGUAAUGAUUAACAGGGACAGUCAGGGGCACUCGUAUUCCGCCGAGAGAGGUGAAAUUCUUAGACCAGCGGAAGACGAACCACUGCGAAAGCAUUUGCCAGGGAUGUUUUCACUGAUCAAGAACGAAAGUUAGGGGAUCGAAGACGAUCAGAUACCGUCGUAGUCUUAACCAUAAACCAUGCCGACUAGGGAUUGGAGGAUGUUCCUAUGUGACUCCUUCAGCACCUUUCGGGAAACUAAAGUCUUUGGGUUCCGGGGGGAGUAUGGUCGCAAGGCUGAAACUUAAAGGAAUUGACGGAAGGGCACCACCAGGAGUGGAGCCUGCGGCUUAAUUUGACUCAACACGGGGAAACUUACCAGGUCCAGACAUUGUGAGGAUUGACAGAUUGAGAGCUCUUUCUUGAUUCGAUGGGUGGUGGUGCAUGGCCGUUCUU